This 253-nucleotide ribosomal RNA is filed under the name uncultured bacterium. RNAcentral's name for it is "partial 16S ribosomal RNA". It matches the Rfam family "Bacterial small subunit ribosomal RNA", at positions 524 to 776 of the family's 1533-position model. The record is from RNAcentral.
UACGAAGGGGGCUAGCGUUGUUCGGAAUCACUGGGCGUAAAGCGCACGUAGGCGGAUUGUUAAGUCAGGGGUGAAAUGCCAAGGCUCAACCUUGGAACUGCCUUUGAUACUGGCAAUCUCGAGUCCGGGAGAGGUGAGUGGAACUGCGAGUGUAGAGGUGAAAUUCGUAGAUAUUCGCAAGAACACCAGUGGCGAAGGCGGCUCACUGGCCCGGUACUGACGCUGAGACGCGAAAGCGUGGGGAGCAAACAGG